RNAcentral lists this long non-coding RNA (201 nucleotides) under Homo sapiens (human). RNAcentral's name for it is "non-protein coding lnc-CLMP-5:1". Lineage: Eukaryota; Metazoa; Chordata; Mammalia; Primates; Hominidae. The record is from RNAcentral.
GCUAAAUAAAGCCAUCAGCACAGCCUUUUUACCUGGGUAUGCACUUUCUCAGACAAAUAGCAGGAAGCUCGUGCAUGCAAAAGACAAGCCAGGACCAGAAAUUAGCAUUUUCUAUUGAUUGCUGCCAACUGAGUUCAAAUAGAGGGAAUGGCCCCAGCCAAGAUGAAGAAAGACUUCAAAAAGCCAAUUUAUAGAGGCUUA